Molecule: ribosomal RNA, 443 nt
Filed under: uncultured bacterium
Lineage: Bacteria
Description: partial 16S ribosomal RNA
Rfam family: Bacterial small subunit ribosomal RNA
Source: RNAcentral
CCUACGGGAGGCAGCAGUGGGGAAUAUUGGACAAUGGGGGGAACCCUGAUCCAGCGACGCCGCGUGCGUGAAGAAGUAUUUCGGUAUGUAAAGCUCUAUCCGCAGGGACGAAAGAAAUGACGGUACCUGACUAAGAAGCCCCGGCUAACUACGUGCCAGCAGCCGCGGUAAUACGUAGGGGGCAAGCGUUAUCCGGAUGUACUGGGUGUAAAGGGAGCGUAGACGGCGAUGCAAGUCUGACGUGAAAGGCGGGGGCCCAACCCCCGGACUGCUUUGGAAACUGUAUGGCUGGAGUGCAGGGGAGGUAAGUGGAAUUCCUAGUGUAGCGGUGAAAUGCGUAGAUAUUAGGAGGAACACCAGUGGCGAAGGCGGCUUACUGGACUGUAACUGACGUUGAGGCUCGAAAGCGUGGGGAGCAAACAGGAUUAGAUACCCUUGUAGUC